CAGGCCUCACACAUGCAAGUCUAACGGCAGCACGGGUAGCUUGCUCCUGGUGGCUCGUGGCGGACGGGUGUGUUCACGCGUGCGGCAUCUGCCUGGUAGUGGGGGUCCAACUUGGGGAAACUCAAGCUAAUACCGCAUACGCCCUACGGGGGAAAGCGGAGGAUCUUCGGACUUCGCGCUAUCUGAUGAGCCUGCGUAGGAUUAGCUUGUUGGUGGGGUAAAGGCUCACCAAGGCGACUAUCCUUAGCUGGUCUGAUAGGAUGAUCAGCCACACUGGGACUGAGACACGGCCCAUACUCCUACGGGAGGCAGCAGUGGGGAAUAUUGGACAAUGGGCGAAAGCCUGAUCCAGCAAUGCCGCGUGUGUGAAGAAGGCCUGCGGGUUGUAAAGCACUUUCAGUAGCGAGGAAAAGCUGAUGGUUAAUACCCAUUGGUCUUGACGUUAACUACAGAAGAAGCACCGGCUAACUCCGUGCCAGCAGCCGCGGUAAU
RNAcentral lists this ribosomal RNA (492 nucleotides) under uncultured bacterium. RNAcentral describes it as "bacterial SSU rRNA". It matches the Rfam family "Bacterial small subunit ribosomal RNA", at positions 43 to 524 of the family's 1533-position model. The record is from RNAcentral.